Molecule: ribosomal RNA, 492 nt
Filed under: uncultured bacterium
Lineage: Bacteria
Description: partial 16S ribosomal RNA
Rfam family: Bacterial small subunit ribosomal RNA
Source: RNAcentral
AGUGAACGCUGGCGAUAGGCCUAACACAUGCAAGUCGAACGGCAGCACAGUAAGAGCUUGCUCUUACGGGUGGCGAGUGGCGGACGGGUGAGGAAUACAUCGGAAUCUACUUUUUCGUGGGGGAUAACGUAGGGAAACUUACGCUAAUACCGCAUACGACCUACGGGUGAAAGCAGGGGAUCUUCGGACCUUGCGCGAUUGAAUGAGCCGAUGUCGGAUUAGCUAGUUGGCGGGGUAAAGGCCCACCAAGGCGACGAUCCGUAGCUGGUCUGAGAGGAUGAUCAGCCACACUGGAACUGAGACACGGUCCAGACUCCUACGGGAGGCAGCAGUGGGGAAUAUUGGACAAUGGGCGAAAGCCUGAUCCAGCCAUACCGCGUGGGUGAAGAAGGCCUUCGGGUUGUAAAGCCCUUUUGUUGGGAAAGAAAAGCAGCAGGUUAAUACCCCGCUGUUCUGACGGUACCCAAAGAAUAAGCACCGGCUAACUUCGUG